This 741-nucleotide ribosomal RNA is filed under the name Sophonia linealis. RNAcentral's name for it is "partial 16S ribosomal RNA". The stretch from base 505 to 663 matches the Rfam family "Bacterial large subunit ribosomal RNA", at positions 2473 to 2632 of the family's 2925-position model. Lineage: Eukaryota; Metazoa; Arthropoda; Insecta; Hemiptera; Cicadellidae. The record is from RNAcentral.
UUAUUUUAAUACUAUUUUUUUUUAUGUAAUUUUUAUUUAAUUAUUAUUUAUGAUUUAAUUAGUAUAAUAUUAAGAAAUUUAUUAAUGAAUUCGACAAAUUUAAUUCUCAACUGUUUAUCAAAAACAUUUCUUUUAGUUAAAUAUUAAAGGUAUUUCCUGCCCUAUGAAUAUUUAAAUGGCUGCAGUAUUUUGACUGUGCAAAGGUAGCUUAAUAAUGAGUUUCUUAAUUAGGAACUGGUAUGAAUGGAUUAAUGAGGAAUUUUUUUUAUUAUUUUUUGUAUUAAAAUUUUAUUUGUAAGUAAAAAAUCUUACUUAAUUUUCUGGGACGAGAAGACCCUACAGAACUUUAUUAAUUUUGAAUUAAAAUAUUUUUAGGUUUUUUUAUUUGAAUAAUUUAAUAGUAAUUUUGUUGGGGUGACAUAUAAAUAUAAACUUUAUAUAUAAAUUUCAAUUAUUUUUGUAUUUUUGAUCCAAUUUUUGAUUAUAAGAAUAAGUUACCUUAGGGAUAACAGCGUAAUUUUUAUGGAAAGUUCAUAUUUAUAUAAGAGUUUACGACCUCGAUGUUGAAUUAAUAAAAGAUUAGGGGGUAGGUUUCUUUUUUCUAAGUCUGUUCGACUUUUAAAUUUUUACAUGAUUUGAGUUCAAACCGGUGUGAGCCAGGUUGGUUUCUAUCUAGAAACAUUUAUUCUUUAUUAGUACGAAAGGACCAUAGGGUACAAUUAUAUUGUGAUUAAAUUUAAA